This 269-nucleotide ribosomal RNA is filed under the name Vairimorpha bombi. RNAcentral's name for it is "Nosema bombi partial small subunit ribosomal RNA". It matches the Rfam family "Microsporidia small subunit ribosomal RNA", at positions 102 to 369 of the family's 1311-position model. Lineage: Eukaryota; Fungi; Microsporidia; Nosematidae. The record is from RNAcentral.
UUUAUUUUAUGUGCACCGCAGAUAACUACGUUAAAGUGUAGAUAACAUGUGUACAGUAAGAGUGAGACCUAUCAGCUAGUUGUUAGGGUAAUGGCUUAACAAGGCAGUGACGGGUAACGGUAUUACUUUGUAAUAUUCCGGAGAAGGAGCCUGAGAGACGGCUACUAAGUCUAAGGAUUGCAGCAGGGGCGAAACUUGACCUAUGGAUUUUAUCUGAGGCAGUUAUGGGAAGUAAUAUAUUAUUGUUUCAUAUUUUAAAAAUAUAUGAA